CUUCGCGACCCGAGGAGGCUUGGAAGAGGGUCGGCCGCGCGAGUUUGGCGAGGGAGAAACUCGGCGAGAUUUAAAUCGGCUUCAAAGGCGGCUAGGGCUUUUCCAACAUUGCUAGACGGGGAAAAGGGGUGUGGGGAUGAUCUUGGGGUUUAAAAGGGCUCGGUUUGGCGAAUUUUGGUAGGGAAUCCCGGGCAAAUCAGGAUUUGACACCCGGUCGAGAAUCCUGCUCGGCUCCGACUUGGGGUUGAAGAAGGCCGGCUGUCGGGUGGGGUCACCUUGUCAGCGAGGACCAGGGGAAAGGGGAGGCGCGGGGCAGGCCAGGAACUGGGCCAGUUGCGCGUACUGGGCUGAAGAGGGGAGCGGGCCGUGGGGGAAAAGAAGGGGGAGAAGAGGGUUUGGGCCUUCGGGCCAGAAUGAGGGGGGAAAGAUUUUGUUUGUUUUUUUUCUAUUUUCCUUUCUUUUCCAAAGCUUUUCCAAAAGGGAUUUUAAAUCAUUCUUAGAGAUAGAACAAAACACACAGUACAAAAUUAAAUAUGCUUCGGCAUGAAUGCAUAAUCAUGUUUCUAAGCUUAUGAUGAAUUUUAUUUUUCGCAAAAAUUAUUUUAGUGCUAAAUUUAAAUGCUCACAAAAACACUUAAAUAAAUCAAAUUAAAUCCUAUUAAUUGGAAAUCAAAUUUUGGGUGUUACACCCAACCAAAUAUGGGGUCUGAAGUAGGGGCCCUACUGGAGUAAUGUUUUUAGCCUGGGCGCUAUUGGGGCUUGAGCAGGGGCCCUGCUGGAGUUGCUCUUAGGCUACCUAAAUUUAUUGGCCCAACAAAUUUCUCCUCCCACUACCUAGAUCUGUUGGACCAACAAAAAUGCCUACUUUUUUCCCUUCGUCUUUCUUCUCUCCAGGAAUCAUCCGACACCACCUGCCGACCAACGCCUGUGCCUCGCCCUCUCUGGUAGCGGCGCUCCCCAUCACGCGGCCCUCCGACGCCGAUCUCUAGGCGGUGCCCCUCGACCACCCCUCGCCCAUCCCACGCAUGG
RNAcentral lists this long non-coding RNA (1029 nucleotides) under Sorghum bicolor (sorghum). RNAcentral's name for it is "long non-coding RNA (SBIC_LNC005513)". The record is from RNAcentral. Lineage: Eukaryota; Viridiplantae; Streptophyta; Magnoliopsida; Poales; Poaceae.